AUUGGACGCUGGCGGAAUGCUUUACACAUGCAAGUCGAACGGCAGCACGGGGGCGAACCUUGGUGGCGAGUGGCGAACGGGUGAGUAAUACAUCGGAACGUGCCCAGUCGUGGGGGAGUAACUACGCGAAAGCGUAGCUAAUACCGCAUACGAACUCUGGUUGAAAGCGGGGGACUCGCAAGAGCCUCGCGCGAUUGGAGCGGCCGAUGGCAGAUUAGGUAGUUGGUGGGGUAAAGGCNCACCAAGCCGACGAUCUGUAGCUGGUCUGAGAGGACGACCAGCCACACUGGGACUGAGACACGGCCCAGACUCCUACCGGGAGGCAGCAGUGGGGAAUUUUGGACAAUGGGCGCAAGCCUGAUCCAGCCAUUCCGCGUGCAGGAUGAAGGCCCUCGGGUUGUAAACUGCUUUUGGACGGAACGAAAAGCGCCAGGUUAAUACCUUGGCGUCAUGACGGUACCGUCAGAAUAAGCACCGGCUAACUACGUGCCAGCCGCCGCA
RNAcentral lists this ribosomal RNA (501 nucleotides) under uncultured bacterium. Its description in RNAcentral is "bacterial SSU rRNA". It matches the Rfam family "Bacterial small subunit ribosomal RNA", at positions 29 to 519 of the family's 1533-position model. The record is from RNAcentral.